GGUGGUUCUUGGGUGACACCGCCCCAAAUUGGGCUCCCUCCUCUCUGGUUCCAGGAUGCAUCACCCGAGAACCGCU
Non-coding RNA from Myotis brandtii (Brandt's bat), 76 nucleotides. The record is from Rfam. Lineage: Eukaryota; Metazoa; Chordata; Mammalia; Chiroptera; Vespertilionidae.